AUUGAACGCUGGCGGCAUGCUUUACACAUGCAAGUCGAACGGCAGCGGGGGCUUCGGCCUGCCGGCGAGUGGCGAACGGGUGAGUAAUGCAUCGGAACGUGCCCAGUCAUGGGGGAUAACUACGCGAAAGCGUAGCUAAUACCGCAUACGCCCUGAGGGGGAAAGUGGGGGAUCUUCGGACCUCACGUGAUUGGAGCGGCCGAUGUCAGAUUAGCUAGUUGGUGAGGUAAAGGCUCACCAAGGCGACGAUCUGUAGCGGGUCUGAGAGGAUGAUCCGCCACACUGGGACUGAGACACGGCCCAGACUCCUACGGGAGGCAGCAGUAGGGAAUUUUCGGCAAUGGGGGAAACCCUGACCGAGCAAUGCCGCGUGAACGAUGAAGGUCUUCGGAUUGUAAAGUUCUGUGAUUGGGGAAGAAUGGUAUUCUUAGGGAAUGAGGAGUACAUGACGGUACCCGAUUAGAAAGCCCCGGCUAACUAUGUGCCAGCAGCC
This 493-nucleotide ribosomal RNA is filed under the name uncultured bacterium. RNAcentral describes it as "bacterial SSU rRNA". It matches the Rfam family "Bacterial small subunit ribosomal RNA", at positions 30 to 516 of the family's 1533-position model. The record is from RNAcentral.